This 75-nucleotide transfer RNA is filed under the name Marchantia polymorpha subsp. ruderalis. Its description in RNAcentral is "tRNA-Arg". It matches the Rfam family "tRNA". Rfam says of the family: Transfer RNA (tRNA) molecules are approximately 80 nucleotides in length. Their secondary structure includes four short double-helical elements and three loops (D, anti-codon, and T loops). Lineage: Eukaryota; Viridiplantae; Streptophyta; Marchantiopsida; Marchantiales; Marchantiaceae. The record is from RNAcentral.
GCUCGCGUGGCCUAAUGGAUAAGGCAUCUGACUUCUAAUCAGGGGAUUGUGGGUUCGAGUCCCACCGUGAGUGCA